AACGCGAAGAACCUUACCUGGGCUCGAAAUGGAGUGGACAGGAGUGGAAACAUUCCCUCCCCGCAAGGGGCUGCUCUAUAGGUGCUGCAUGGCUGUCGUCAGCUCGUGUCGUGAGAUGUUGGGUUAAGUCCCGCAACGAGCGCAACCCUUAUUACCAGUUGCCAUCAUUCAGUUGGGCACUCCGGUGAGACCGCCUCGGAUAACGGGGAGGAAGGCGGGGAUGACGUCAAGUCCUCAUGGCCUUUAUGUCCAGGGCUACACACGUGCUACAAUGGUCGGUACAAACCGUCGCAAACCCGCGAGGGGGAGCUAAUCGGAAAAAGCCGGCCUCAGUUCGGAUCGCAGUCUGCAACUCGACUGCGUGAAGCUGGAAUCGCUAGUAAUCGCGGAUCAGAACGCCGCGGUGAAUACGUUCCCGGGCCUUGUA
Molecule: ribosomal RNA, 427 nt
Filed under: uncultured Acidobacterium sp.
Lineage: Bacteria; Pseudomonadati; Acidobacteriota; Terriglobia; Terriglobales; Acidobacteriaceae
Description: bacterial SSU rRNA
Rfam family: Bacterial small subunit ribosomal RNA
Source: RNAcentral